Mus musculus (house mouse) is the source of this 240-nucleotide long non-coding RNA. RefSeq annotates it as predicted gene, 52636. NCBI's taxonomy places the organism in Eukaryota, Metazoa, Chordata, Mammalia, Rodentia, Muridae. The record is from RefSeq and is a predicted model, not a curated record. The transcript has 2 exons.
GGUCAAGGCUCUCAGGUCUUUCCAGAAGACAGGUCCAUUUCUCAUGAUGUCUCCGAAGCCCUCCAGUUUAUAUCCAAAUGAGGAACUCUCAGCUACAUCUCUCUUCCUGCUGCCUUGAGAUCCAGAUAUAGAACUCUCAGCUACCAAAUCUGCCUGCAUGCUCCCCAUGCUCCCUGCCACGAGGAUAAUAGACUAAGACUCUGGCAUUGUAAGCAAGCCUCAAUUAAAUACUUUCUUUUA